Long non-coding RNA from Capra hircus (goat), 2468 nucleotides. RefSeq lists it as uncharacterized. The record is from RefSeq and is a predicted model, not a curated record. NCBI's taxonomy places the organism in Eukaryota, Metazoa, Chordata, Mammalia, Artiodactyla, Bovidae. The transcript is spliced from 4 exons.
GGAGAUUGUGAAGGACAGGGAAGCCUGGCGUGCUGCAGUCCAUGGGGUCUCAAAGAGUCAGACAUGACUGAGCAACUGAAUACCAACAACUCCAGCAGCAAAAUGAGGGUUAUAUUGGGAGUGGGUGGGGGGAGGCUGAGGGCUGAACUGCUGGGAGACCAGCGCAGUGGCAAGCCAGAGAGCUGGAGGCCUUCAUCAGGGCGACACUGGUGCAUGCCGAGGAGGCGAUGGGAGGCCUAGAGCAGGGCGGGUCAGAGGGCUCCUCCUUCAUGGGACCUGCCAGCCAGAGGAGUUUUCUCAGCCUCCCCUAAGUCCUCAGAGUACUGUGUGUCCCUUUCCCAGGGCCUGCUUUGGCCAUGUCCCCAUAACAGCUGUGUGCAUCUUAUCACAUCUUGUAUAUUUUAAGUUCUUAAAGGGCAGGAGGAAUUAUGCCUUAUUAGCCUUAGUAAUUUUUUUUUGCAUUGUGGGGCAUAGGGCUUUCAUAAAUUCCAAAAUUAUCUCUUUCAGAUCAUUUCUCCUUACGUAUGCAGUUUAGAAGUUUAUGGCGAGUUAAACACGUUUUCUUUAAAAAUGUGAAAAUUGUUUCUUUCCACGAUCUGCUUUAAAAUGCACGAGGAAAAGGAAAGAUUGGGAAGUUGUUUAAAAGCAGCAAACCCUUUAAGAGUCAAUGUCACAUUUAUUGCUAUAAAAUAUUUUUCUCUCUCUGUUAGACAUCUGGUUCCCAUUAUAUACAGUAUUGGGUACUUGAGUUCACCAGCCAUUUUGCAUACCAAACAGCGUGUCUGCGAAAUCCCAACUGACAUCCGCCAGUACGUAUGUGCAGCGUGCACUCUUGCUUUCCAUUUACAGACAACCCUUCUAUCACCAACCUCAUUCUUACCUAUAUGCUUUUCAGGUUAUUUCAUUCAUGCUUAACUCAAGGACCAAACUGCCUAUGUGUGAGAAGUGAAGAACUUCAAAACCAUGGAAUCUUUGCUUUCUAUUAAUAAUAUCAUAUGGUCCAACUAUCUCUAAUCUAGCUCUAAAGUCAAUGAAACAACUAAAUCUUAAGUCUAUAUUUCCUAAUAACAUUGACCCAGAAAUGAGAAACAAUAUGGAAUGUUUGCUAAUGAGUCAUGAAUUUCAUGAUAAUUGCUUCCACAUUCAGGAGAGCUCCCUUAAACCAUCUAAUCUUGACAUAUCCUGCAACAAUCCCAUGUGUUGUAAAUGAUUUUGUUUUAUUUCUAAGGUUACUGUUAAGGGCUUAUUUUAUGGUUCAUUUCAUUUUCUUAAAGAAAACCACACACAUGUACGUACACACACACACACACACACACACACACACACCCCAUAGGGGACUUUGUCUCAAUCUGUACUUUUUGAAAUAAAAUAAUUACAAAACCAAAAGGAGCCCUUGUCAUUUGGUUUGGAAAUAAAAAUAAAUACAGUUAGGAAGAAAGUGGAAAUAUGGUCAAUUUUAGAGUUCCAAUUCAGAUCUCAGAAUGAAAGCCAGGGUAGAGCAAUGCCCUAGGAAGUGGCCUCCUGUCUUCUCUGGACUUGAGAAUCUCUAACCGAUUGUAUGGAUACAACUAGCAUUCAGUCCAGUGAUAAUGGAGAAUUAAAUACGACUUUUAAAAACUGCUCACAUUAUAAAGUGAUCUAUUAGCAUUAUAUGACUUCAGCACUUAAAGUGACUGAUUCUAAUUGCACAAUUUGGCCCAUGGCAAGCAUUAAAGAGCUGUAGGAUCUUGCGGGUAUUUUAUCUCUUUGGGGAUAUUUUAAAGUGAAUUUUCUUUGGAAUAAAGCUUUGUUCCUGCCACACAAAAGAUUGUGUGGAAGAAAUCUCUCAGUUCUGAUAGAACCAGAGAUAAUUAUAGUUUCUUCUUUGAUUUGUGAAUCAGUAUGCCAAAUAUUAAAAACAUUCUUGCACUUUUUCCUCCCUUUCUUUUAUUAAGUGAAAUUCUGUCUCUACAGUGUGUGGCUGUUACCCUGAAGAAGAAAAGAUGGAUGCCCUUGUCUAAUGAGCUUUUCCAGCCAUCAGAGAGGCAUUCUCCUUCUGCACCUGGUUAUCAUACAUGGUCCUUCCACCUCUUUUCCGGGCAAGCUUGUGGGUUGCUAAGAUGAUGUCCCAGUUCCAUCCCUGGAGCUGAACUUGAUUUAAACAGGUUAUCACAAAACCACAGGGACUUCUGAGCAGGUUUGCUGCAGCGUUUGAGCAGCUGUCUUGCUCUCCUGAGAACAGUCACUGUUUCUUAGAACUGACUCAAAAGUCAGUCUUUGGUGUCAUACCUGCUGAGACAGAGCUCCUCCGUCAGCACUGGGGACCCUGCUGCUGGGUUCACACACCAGGCCCAUUAGGAUGGUUUUGCUGGUUGCAGCCACAGAGAACUAAUACUUACCCUGUAAAGACAUCCCUGCUCACUGUGACCUUCUCAAGCAAUCUUGAUUGGGACUGAUGCUGAAGCUAAAGCUCCAAUACAUUGGCCACC